Molecule: ribosomal RNA, 383 nt
Filed under: uncultured eukaryote
Lineage: Eukaryota
Description: partial 18S ribosomal RNA
Rfam family: Eukaryotic small subunit ribosomal RNA
Source: RNAcentral
CAAUAGCGUAUAUUAAAGUUGUUGCAGUUAAAAAGCUCGUAGUUGGAUUUCUGGUGGGAGCGAUCGGUCUGGCGCUUAGCGCGAGUACUUGCAUCGUCUCCGGCCAUCCUUGGGGAAAGUCUGUCUGGCAUUAAGUUGUCGGGCAGAGGAUCCUCAUCGUUUACUGUGAAAAAAUUAGAGUGUUCAAAGCAGGCUCAUGCCGUUGAAUAUAUUAGCAUGGAAUAAUAAGAUAGGACUUUGGUACUAUUUUGUUGGUUUGCGCACCAAAGUAAUGAUUAAUAGGGACAGUUGGGGGUAUUCGUAUUCCGUUGUCAGAGGUGAAAUUCUUGGAUUUACGGAAGACGAACUACUGCGAAAGCAUUUACCAAGGAUGUUUUCAUUAA